Molecule: transfer RNA, 71 nt
Filed under: Toxocara canis (dog roundworm)
Lineage: Eukaryota; Metazoa; Nematoda; Chromadorea; Rhabditida; Toxocaridae
Rfam family: tRNA
About the family: Transfer RNA (tRNA) molecules are approximately 80 nucleotides in length.
Source: Rfam by way of RNAcentral
UGGGCAGUAGCUCAGUGGUAGAGCUCCCGAUUCCCGUACAGAAAACCAGGGUUCGAUUCCCGGCUGCUUAC